UGCCUAAACCCAUGGGAUUCCAUGCUAAAAAUUAUUGUUAGCAUGUAAGGGAGUUGGGACGCCAAGAGUUGGCGCCCCUUGGUGUCUUGUAUGGCGCCCCUUCAUCCCUUAGAUAAGGGGCACCCCAUAUGGCAUGAAAUUAAUCCAAAAAUUAUUUUGGAUGUGGGAUUAGAUGAGGAAGAGAUGGUAAAAAUUUGAAGCGAAAAUAGAAAGAAAAAGGGAGAGA
This 226-nucleotide long non-coding RNA is filed under the name Elaeis guineensis (African oil palm). Its description in RNAcentral is "long non-coding RNA (EGUI_LNC040694)". The record is from RNAcentral. Lineage: Eukaryota; Viridiplantae; Streptophyta; Magnoliopsida; Arecales; Arecaceae.